Molecule: long non-coding RNA, 536 nt
Organism: Micropterus dolomieu (smallmouth bass)
Lineage: Eukaryota; Metazoa; Chordata; Actinopteri; Centrarchiformes; Centrarchidae
Exons: 3
Source: RefSeq, a predicted model, not a curated record
UAAAAUUCAGUUACCAGGGCAAAAUAGACCGACAGGUUAGUUUGGCCAAUCAGCUGACAGCAGGUAGGCCCGCCCACCUGCUCCCGCGUCUCUGGGAGCGAGCGAAAGUUUUUUCCCGCUGCUGUGUGGAGACAGAAGUGCUGCUGUAGAGGAUGAAACCUGGAGAAAAUACAGCUGAAAACGAACUACACUGAGGCUAACUGUGGUAGCUAACUGUGAGAGUUUAGUUGUAGGUUCAGUGUUUAGAUGUAGCGCUUGAGAGACGACUAGCAGCGUCGGUAGCUUCAGUCUUUGCUGAUUCAAGAGCGAGACCUUGUGGCUUUACUGGGCGCCGCCAUUUCGUGAGCGUGUCCAGUCGCUCUGGUGAAAUCGGUCAGGUUUUUUGUGUGUGCAUGUUUCUUCUUCCAUUGUCUGGAUGGAUCUGCGGAUGAAAAUUGAUGGCGAGCCGUCCCUCUUGAAUGAUUGUGGGAGCCAUUCCCUCUUCAGGAUCACUGGACCUGUCCCGCUACUACUGCACUUUGCGGUGUGGUAGGCCC